RNAcentral lists this ribosomal RNA (513 nucleotides) under uncultured Bacillota bacterium. RNAcentral's name for it is "bacterial SSU rRNA". It matches the Rfam family "Bacterial small subunit ribosomal RNA", at positions 395 to 900 of the family's 1533-position model. The record is from RNAcentral. Lineage: Bacteria; Bacillati; Bacillota.
CGUCGCGUGAAGGAUGAAGGUCUUCGGAUUGUAAACUUCUUUUAUCUGGGAAUAAGAAAUCUGUGGAAACACGGAGAGUGAAUGUACCAGGUGAAUAAGCCACGGCUAACUUCGUGCCAGCAGCCGCGGUAAUACGAAGGUGGCAAGCGUUACUCGGAAUUACUAGGCGUAAAGGGCAGGUAGGUGGUUCGGUAAGUCUGUUGUGGAAGCUCCCGGCUUAACUGGGAGAGGUCAACAGAAACUACCGGACUUGAGUAUAGGAGAGGGUACUGGAAUUCCCGGUGUAGCGGUGAAAUGCGCAGAGAUCGGGAGGAACACCAAUGGCGAAAGCAGGUACCUGGACUAUUACUGACACUCAGCUGCGAAAGCUAGGGGAGCAAACAGGAUUAGAUACCCUGGUAGUCCUAGCCGUAAACGAUGCACAUUAGACGUGAGGGGUAUCGACCCCCUUCGUGUCGACGCAAACGCAUUAAAUGUGCCGCCUGGGGAGUACGGCCGCAAGAUCCAUAUGAC